AUUGAACGCUGGCGGCAGGCCUAACACAUGCAAGUCGAGCGAGCGGCGGACGGGUGAGUAAUGUAUGGGGACUGCCCGAUAGAGGGGGAUAACUACUGGAAACGGUAGCUAAUACCGCAUACUAUCGGAUAACCCAUAUGGGAUUAGCUAGUAGGUGAGGUAAUGGCUCACCUAGGCGACGAUCCCUAGCUGGUCUGAGAGGAUGAUCAGCCAAACUGGGACUGAGACACGGCCCAGACUCGGACGGAGGCAGCAGGGGGGAAUAUUUCACAAUGGGCGCAAGUCGGAUGCAGCCAUGCCGCGUGUAUGAAGAAGGCCCUAGGGUUGUAAAGUACUUUCAGUCGGGAGGCGUUACCGACAGAAGAGGCACCGGCUACCUCCGUGCCAGCGGCCGCGGUAAUUC
RNAcentral lists this ribosomal RNA (403 nucleotides) under uncultured bacterium. RNAcentral's name for it is "partial 16S ribosomal RNA". It matches the Rfam family "Bacterial small subunit ribosomal RNA", at positions 30 to 526 of the family's 1533-position model. The record is from RNAcentral.